Molecule: long non-coding RNA, 1125 nt
Filed under: Felis catus (domestic cat)
Lineage: Eukaryota; Metazoa; Chordata; Mammalia; Carnivora; Felidae
Description: lncRNA (ENSFCAG00000042536.2)
Source: RNAcentral
GAAACAACGGCAGCUCUAUCUAGGGGUGGUAUGAGAUGGAAGGGACAAGCCUCUGCUGGGCUCGAUACAGGGGUUGAGGCUCGACCUGGGUAUUGAAAGAUGGUCACAUGUUUCCCCACGUAAACGGGCCCAGAGAGCAAGCGUGCAAAGGCCCAAAGGGACCAACCAGCAUGGAGUGUUUGGGGAAUGGCGAGGAGCUUCUGUAUGGCCGGGCCAGGGGGAAGUCUGAAAGGGGAGGCAGGCACUGUAAGAGACAGGACUGGUAGGGCUGCAAAGGCUAGAUCCCCAAACAUCUUGUGGGUUUGGCCAAGGAGUCUGGUCCAGAAUAGAAAUUCCUGGAUAUAGCCACCAGCAACCUGUUUGACCAUGCUUCCUGUUUCACAGCGGAGGCUGUGAACUCACCAAAGAACUGGAUUCAGGAGCGUUUGCUCCCCGGCAAAAAUAGAACACCUCCCACCCCCCACCACCCAAAUGAAGGCAAAAGGCUACUAUUGUGUGGAGGCAUUCAGAGGAAGCAGGUGGAAUUUCAUCUGGAGUGAAACUCCUCCAUUGAAACAAACACCUCAUUGCCAGAUCCCAAAAGAGCACAUUAUAGGAGGUCAUUGCUGUCUGUAGGGAAGGGAGUGUCCUAGACACCAACAGAUGCCUCAUAAAACUGAGAGUGAGCAGGACUGCAGCUAAAAGGCCUUCAGACACCUCACAAAAUGGUGAUUUUGGGACUGCAAACAGACAUUUCUUUCACUUCCCCACACUGCAUAUGGAGAAAGAGCGAGGAGGGGGUUUUACGUUACGCUCAGCUGAGAGCCAGAGAAGUAAACUGCCUUCCACCGGCUCAGAUUUUAUUUUCAGCAAAUGGGCGCCUUCACGUGUAGACCAGCCUCUUACUGCAGGCUCCUUGUCUGUGUCUAUAAAACACUGCCAUUGUAGAUGUUGAGAGUCAUUUUUAGAGCCAUUAUAGCAGGGGACCCAUCCUUCCCUUCACCUCUUCUCUUCAGGGGAGUCCAGAAAAAGAGAACAGGUACAAGGGAAAAAAGCCAAAUGAGAAUUUCAAAAAAAUUUUUUUUCUUAAGUAGUACUUAAUUAAUACCUGAGGCAGCCUCCAAAAUCCCCAACACAAGGCACCCC